RNAcentral lists this ribosomal RNA (1455 nucleotides) under uncultured bacterium. Its description in RNAcentral is "bacterial SSU rRNA". It matches the Rfam family "Bacterial small subunit ribosomal RNA". The record is from RNAcentral.
GCCUAACACAUGCAAGUCGAACGGGAGUCGCAUUUCGAUGCGAUGAGAGUGGCGCACGGGUGAGUAACACGUAGCGAACCUGUCCUGAAGUGUGGGAUAACGCCUCGAAAGAGGCGCUAAUGCCGCAUAAGCUCACGAUCUGUAGAGGGUAGUGAGAAAAGAUUAAUCGCUUCAGGAGGGGGCUGCGGCCCAUCAGGUAGUUGGUGGGGUAAAGGCCUACCAAGCCGACGACGGGUAGGGGGCCUGAGAGGGUGGCCCCCCACACUGGGACUGAGACACGGCCCAGACUCCUACGGGAGGCAGCAGUGAGGAAUAUUGCACAAUGGGCGCAAGCCUGAUGCAGCGACGCCGCGUGGGUGAAGAAGGGUUUCGGCUCGUAAAGCCCUUUUCUGUGUGACGAGAGAGGACGGUAGCACAGGAAUAAGCGUCGGCUAACUACGUGCCAGCAGCCGCGGUAAAACGUAGGACGCAAGCGUUAUCCGGAAUUACUGGGCGUAAAGGGCGUGCAGGCGGUUGAGUAAGUUAGGCGUGAAAGCUCCCGGCUAAACCGGGAGAGGUCGUCUGAUACUGCUUGACUAGAGUGUGGUAGAGGCGUGUAGAAUUCCGCGUGUAGUGGUGAAAUGCGUAGAGACGCGGAGGAAUACCAGUGGCGAAGGCGGCACGCUGGGGCCAACACUGACGCUAAGACGCGAAAGCAUGGGUAGCGAACGGGAUUAGAAACCCCCGGUAGUCCAUGCCGUAAACGAUGUGUACCUGGGUGUUUGAAUCUACCAUUGCUUAGAUGGAGUGCCUAAGCAAACGCGCUAAGUACACCGCCUGGGGGAGUACGGUCGCAAGGCUAAACUCAAAGGAAUUGACGGGGGCCCGCACACAACCAGGGACGUGUUGUUAUUCGAGGCUACACAAAACCUUACCUGGGUUUGACAUAGCGGUGGUAGGAAACUGAAAAGGGACCGACCUUCGGGAGCCGUUACAGGUGCUGCAUGGCGUCGUCAGCUCGUGUCGUGAGAUGUUCGGUUAAGUCCGAAAACGAGCGCAACCCUCGGGGUAGUUACAAGUNUNUAACCCGACUGCCUGUGACAAACGGGAGGAAGGUGGGGAUGACGUCAAGUCAGCAUGGCCUUUAUAUCCAGGGCUACACACACGCUACAAUGGCCGGUACAGUGGGUCGCAAAGCCGCGAGGCGGAGCCAAUCCUCCAAAGCCGGUCGUAGUUCGGAUUGCUAGGUCUGCAACUGCCUGCAUGAAGUCGGAGUUGCUAGUAACCGCAGGUCAGCUAUAACUGCGGUGAAUACGUUCCCGGGCCUUGUACACACCGCCCGUCUACGUACAUGGAAGCUGGUCACGCCUGAAGUCGGGAAGCCAACCCGCAAGGGAGCUACCUGCCGAGGNGCAGGGCUGGUGACUGGGACGAAGUCGUCAACAAGGUAGCUGUAGCGGAAGCUGCGGCUGGAUC